Long non-coding RNA from Neogale vison (American mink), 1063 nucleotides. RefSeq lists it as uncharacterized. The record is from RefSeq and is a predicted model, not a curated record. NCBI's taxonomy places the organism in Eukaryota, Metazoa, Chordata, Mammalia, Carnivora, Mustelidae. The transcript is spliced from 3 exons.
GGAAAAGGGGGCAGUAGGGAAGACGCUCAAGGUCACUUUGUAACAACUUUAUUGGCAACUAGUUAGGAAGGACAACGACAACCACACCGAGGUGGGCGGGCGGGCAGCGGCUGGUAAGGGAGAUGCAAGAAGAAGAAAUUCUCUCUGGCAGAGAGAGCGGAACAGAUUGCUUCUCUCUUGAUCUGAGCUGGUCAGAGGAUAGUGCGACUUUUUCUUCCAAUCGAUAUCUUGUGAGAUUUGGCCUUUUAACCCGUUGUUACUGUCUCCUUCCUAGAGGGACUCCCCUUCCUGUUCAUUCUCCUCCUCCGUGAAAUAGAACUGUGUGUGCGCGUGGGGAAGGAGUUCAUGCACUGCUUGACAGAAGAAAUGAGGGUCCCCAGCAAAGGGAACACAUUUCUUUAAUGGAAUCUGGUAAAGUAUUCACUCUGGAAAAGUAUUCCAGAAGUAUGGCUAAUCCUUCGACUGGCUGAGGACCUGAUCUGAAGUACAGGGACAAAGGAAAGAGCAUAUGAAGAGAUCAAAGAGUUUUGUGACUUUGGGCACAAAGUUGCGUCUUGGUAAUGAAGUGAGGAAGGAAAAUGAACAUCUAAACCUAUGCUAAUGCUAUAGGAUCAUUCUAUCAAGUGUCUGGAGGUGAAGCAACAAUCUCGCAACCACUGAGUACAGAAACUGAACAUUAAGGAUGGAGAAGUUGGAAGUGAAAAGGAGAUUGAGUUCUUAACUUUUUAUUUUUUUUUUUAAGUAGCUAGAGCUGCUAUUAUCUAUUUAUGGACUUCAGGUUAUACAAGAAAGAAACUUCUAUUUGCUGAAGCCACUGAGGUCAACCUUCUUUUAGAUGCAGCUGAACACAACACAAACUGAGGGUCUACAUCUUUGACCCUUUUUGAUCUUUAGUCUGUGAUUACAGCAGAAAUAACCCUCUUCUCACAGAAUUUAUGUUAAUUUAGAUGUUUUUUUCCAUGUUCCAUGGGACCAACAAGGAGAUAGAGCCAUUUUAGCAAUUUGAACAAAGAAAAUGUAAUGUAAAGAUUGUUAACCAAUAAAAGGUAUCUACUAAGAAGAA